UGCCAGCAGCCGCGGUUACACCAGGAAAUUAAGUCAUAUUUAUCGGUAAAAAGACAGUUAGACAAUAAAAUGGGUCAUAGAAUUUUCAAUGUAGGGGUGCAAUCCGAGCAUUGAUAAAUAAUCUAGUCAUGACUAUUUAGUUGAAUCUGUGAUAGCUUUAAGGGAAACUGGGAUUUGAUACCCCAUUAUUUUUAGCUGUAAAUUCAAUUUUAUGUAAUUUACCAGAGUACUACGAACACAAAGUUUAAAACUCAAAGGGCUUGGCGGUGUUUUAGACCACUCAGGGGAACCUGUCUCAUAAUCGAUGAUCCACGUUAAACCUGACCUUUUUUUGCAUUCAGCUUGUAUACCGUCGUCGUCAGGUAACUUCUAAAAAACUAAAAGUUAGCGAAAUAAUUUAUAAAUUACAAUGUCAGAUCAGGGUGCAGCUUAUAAAAAGGGGAGGAUGGGUUACAAUUAUAAAUCUUAAUUACGGAAGAUGUUUAGAACUAAUCAUCUGAAGGAGGACUUGAAAGUAAUUUUAAAUAUAUAAAUUAUAUGAAUAAGGCUCUGAAAUGUGCACACAUCGCCCGCCACUCU
This 579-nucleotide ribosomal RNA is filed under the name Conasprella articulata. RNAcentral describes it as "partial 12S ribosomal RNA". It matches the Rfam family "Bacterial small subunit ribosomal RNA", at positions 506 to 1403 of the family's 1533-position model. Lineage: Eukaryota; Metazoa; Mollusca; Gastropoda; Neogastropoda; Conidae. The record is from RNAcentral.